This 321-nucleotide ribosomal RNA is filed under the name uncultured eukaryote. Its description in RNAcentral is "partial 18S ribosomal RNA". It matches the Rfam family "Eukaryotic small subunit ribosomal RNA", at positions 1470 to 1796 of the family's 1831-position model. The record is from RNAcentral.
CCCUUAGAUGUUCUGGGCCGCACGCGCGCUACACUGAUGAACGCAACGAGACCACCUGUACCGAAAGGCAUGGGUAAACUUGUGAAAGUUCAUCGUGAUGGGGAUAGAUUAUUGCAAUUAUUAAUCUUCAACGAGGAAUUCCUAGUAAGCGCGAGUCAUCAGCUCGCGUUGAUUACGUCCCUGCCCUUUGUACACACCGCCCGUCGCUCCUGCCGAUUGAAUGGUCCGGUGAAAUCUUCGGAUUGCUGGAUAGGACUUCAUUGACCUAUCUGCGAGAAGUUGCUUGAACCUUAUCAUUUAGAGGAAGGAGAANUCGUAACA